Molecule: ribosomal RNA, 1386 nt
Filed under: Klebsiella pneumoniae subsp. pneumoniae
Lineage: Bacteria; Pseudomonadati; Pseudomonadota; Gammaproteobacteria; Enterobacterales; Enterobacteriaceae
Description: bacterial SSU rRNA
Rfam family: Bacterial small subunit ribosomal RNA
Source: RNAcentral
GCAAGUCGAGCGGUAGCACAGAGAGCUUGCUCUCGGGUGACGAGCGGCGGACGGGUGAGUAAUGUCUGGGAAACUGCCUGAUGGAGGGGGAUAACUACUGGAAACGGUAGCUAAUACCGCAUAACGUCGCAAGACCAAAGUGGGGGACCUUCGGGCCUCAUGCCAUCAGAUGUGCCCAGAUGGGAUUAGCUAGUAGGUGGGGUAACGGCUCACCUAGGCGACGAUCCCUAGCUGGUCUGAGAGGAUGACCAGCCACACUGGAACUGAGACACGGUCCAGACUCCUACGGGAGGCAGCAGUGGGGAAUAUUGCACAAUGGGCGCAAGCCUGAUGCAGCCAUGCCGCGUGUGUGAAGAAGGCCUUCGGGUUGUAAAGCACUUUCAGCGGGGAGGAAGGCGAUAAGGUUAAUAACCUUGUCGAUUGACGUUACCCGCAGAAGAAGCACCGGCUAACUCCGUGCCAGCAGCCGCGGUAAUACGGAGGGUGCAAGCGUUAAUCGGAAUUACUGGGCGUAAAGCGCACGCAGGCGGUCUGUCAAGUCGGAUGUGAAAUCCCCGGGCUCAACCUGGGAACUGCAUUCGAAACUGGCAGGCUAGAGUCUUGUAGAGGGGGGUAGAAUUCCAGGUGUAGCGGUGAAAUGCGUAGAGAUCUGGAGGAAUACCGGUGGCGAAGGCGGCCCCCUGGACAAAGACUGACGCUCAGGUGCGAAAGCGUGGGGAGCAAACAGGAUUAGAUACCCUGGUAGUCCACGCUGUAAACGAUGUCGAUUUGGAGGUUGUGCCCUUGAGGCGUGGCUUCCGGAGCUAACGCGUUAAAUCGACCGCCUGGGGAGUACGGCCGCAAGGUUAAAACUCAAAUGAAUUGACGGGGGCCCGCACAAGCGGUGGAGCAUGUGGUUUAAUUCGAUGCAACGCGAAGAACCUUACCUGGUCUUGACAUCCACAGAACUUUCCAGAGAUGGAUUGGUGCCUUCGGGAACUGUGAGACAGGUGCUGCAUGGCUGUCGUCAGCUCGUGUUGUGAAAUGUUGGGUUAAGUCCCGCAACGAGCGCAACCCUUAUCCUUUGUUGCCAGCGGUCCGGCCGGGAACUCAAAGGAGACUGCCAGUGAUAAACUGGAGGAAGGUGGGGAUGACGUCAAGUCAUCAUGGCCCUUACGACCAGGGCUACACACGUGCUACAAUGGCAUAUACAAAGAGAAGCGACCUCGCGAGAGCAAGCGGACCUCAUAAAGUAUGUCGUAGUCCGGAUUGGAGUCUGCAACUCGACUCCAUGAAGUCGGAAUCGCUAGUAAUCGUAGAUCAGAAUGCUACGGUGAAUACGUUCCCGGGCCUUGUACACACCGCCCGUCACACCAUGGGAGUGGGUUGCAAAAGAAGUAGGUAGCU